AUCCAGUUGACGAGUCCCAAAUAGGAUGAAACGCGCGUUCUGUAU
Molecule: non-coding RNA, 45 nt
Organism: Schistosoma margrebowiei
Lineage: Eukaryota; Metazoa; Platyhelminthes; Trematoda; Strigeidida; Schistosomatidae
Source: Rfam